RNAcentral lists this ribosomal RNA (503 nucleotides) under uncultured bacterium. Its description in RNAcentral is "partial 16S ribosomal RNA". It matches the Rfam family "Bacterial small subunit ribosomal RNA", at positions 28 to 523 of the family's 1533-position model. The record is from RNAcentral.
GAUGAACGCCAGCGGCAGGCUUAAUACAUGCAAGUCGAGGGGCAGCAGUUUUGUAGCAAUACAGAAGCUGGCGACCGGCAAACGGGUGCGGAACACGUACGCAACCUUCCUUUAACUGGAAGAUAGCCCACCGAAAGGUGGAUUAAUACUCCAUAACAUAUUGAAGAGGCAUCUUUUUGAUAUUAAAGCUCCGGCGGUUAAAGAUGGGCGUGCGUCUGAUUAGGUAGUUGGCGGGGUAACGGCCCACCAAGCCUUCGUUAAGUAGCUGAUGUGAGAGCAUGAUCAGCAACACGGGCACUGGGACACGGGCCCGACUCCUACGGGAGGCAGCAGUAAGGAAUAUUGGUCAAUGGACGCAAGUCUGAACCAGCCAUGCCGCGUGGAGGAUGAAGGCCCUCUGGGUUGUAAACUUCUUUUCUUUGGGACGAAACCCCUGUUUCUACGGGGACUGACGGUACCAGAGGAAUAAGCACCGGCUAACUCCGUGCCAGCAGCCGCAGUAA